GACACCCUGCAGUGUUCGAGGUGCUUUCAAUAACUGCUCUUUGCCUUGGAAUAAACACGGGAGCUGAACCCGUCGCGGAAGAUGCCAGGCCGUAAAUCGGAAGGCAGACGCUGUGGCGGAGGUUCCCACCUAAACCUACAAAGGUCUUGAGCCUUUGAGCAUACGGCACAGGUGGGGUGUCA
RNAcentral lists this non-coding RNA (182 nucleotides) under Opitutaceae bacterium. RNAcentral's name for it is "6S RNA". It matches the Rfam family "6S / SsrS RNA". From Rfam's summary of the family: E. coli 6S RNA was the first non coding RNA to be sequenced, but its function was unknown until recently. It consists of 184 nucleotides that fold into an extended hairpin structure with a large single-stranded internal bulge. The 6S RNA specifically associates with RNA polymerase holoenzyme containing the sigma70 specificity factor. The record is from RNAcentral. Lineage: Bacteria; Pseudomonadati; Verrucomicrobiota; Opitutia; Opitutales; Opitutaceae.